UCGAAGUCCAGGGGCCGCGCCAGGUACAAGCGCCCUGAGGCCGCAUCCAGCGCGAAGGUGCCCUCGGGAUCGGCACCGCCCACCAGUGUGUAGGUAGCGUGUACAAGAUGGUCCCAUUCUCCCCCUCAUCUGGAUCCUUCGCCUGCAGAGUCGUCACCAGUGUUCCCGGAGGCACGCGGUCUGGUACCUGUGGGAACACAACUCACCUAGAAUGCUAGUAUUGAUUUUGGAGUUACAAAUAAAUUUUCGAGAUUAAGUGAAUUCACAAAUAAUGAGGACCAACUGUACUUAGAAAGAAGAAAGGGCUGUGACCUCAAAUUCCAGGUGGGUCCAGGAAGUUAAUACCCUCACCAAGUCUCAUAAUCACCCCAAACCAAGAACUCACCGACAGUGGAAUUAUUGAGACUGAUUUAUAGGUUUGAUCUUUAUUGAGUUUGAUUAUUACAGAGUGGGAUCUGAUUAAUACUGGGAUCUGAUCACUAUAGGGGGCAGCCGCCGUCGGUCCGCGCGCCCUUGGCCGUCGAUCGGUCUCUUUAUCCCAAAUUUGAGGGUAGAGAUCGGGAGAUAUUGGAAAGAAGAGCUUUGGGGAUGGUGGUCCCACUCACGAUAUACUCCCUAGAAAAAUUAAGACUGCGAGUAGACUGUGAGAAAAACAGGUUUUCUGGACUUGAGAUGUGUACAAAUGGCACAAAGAAAUCAGGAACUUCUGUGGAGAAGGAACACAGUUUCAGCUGAAGAAGAAGGGAGUGUGAUUUUGGAAGAGGAGUGAGGGAGAGACUGGGGUCCUUGAUCAUAUCCACGGCGCUUGGGCAGCUGGGUGGAUGGAUGGUGGUGAGGCUGGCUGUGCUCC
RNAcentral lists this long non-coding RNA (850 nucleotides) under Homo sapiens (human). Its description in RNAcentral is "long non-coding RNA NONHSAT158787.1". The record is from RNAcentral. Lineage: Eukaryota; Metazoa; Chordata; Mammalia; Primates; Hominidae.